This 901-nucleotide ribosomal RNA is filed under the name uncultured bacterium. Its description in RNAcentral is "bacterial SSU rRNA". It matches the Rfam family "Bacterial small subunit ribosomal RNA", at positions 8 to 925 of the family's 1533-position model. The record is from RNAcentral.
AGGGUUUGAUCCUGGCUCAGGAUAAACGUUUGCGGUGCGCCUUAUGCAUGCAAGUUGUACGGGGUUAUGGUCUUCGGACUGUAAUCUAGUGGCGAACGGCUGAGUAACACAUAAGUAACCUACCUUCAAGUGGGGGAUAACCUGCCGAAAGACAGGCUAAUACCGCAUAUGAUAAUCAAGGAUUGCUUGGUUAUUAAAGCCCUAGGGUGCUUGAAGAGGGACUUGUGUCUGAUUAGCUAGUUGGUAGGGUAACGGCUUACCAAGGCGAUGAUCAGUAGCUGGUCUGAGAGGAUGUCCAGCCAGAUGGGGAUUGAGAUACGGCCCCAACUCCUAUGGGAGGCAGCAGCAAGGAAUAUUGGGCAAUGGGCGAAAGCCUGACCCAGCGACACCGUGUGAGGGAAGAAGGCCUUCGGGUUGUAAACCUCUUUUCUCGAGGAAGAAUUUUGACGGUACUCGAGGAAUAAGUCUCGGCUAACUACGUGCCAGCAGCCGCGGUAAUACGUAGGAGGCGAACGUUAUCCGGAUUUACUGGGCGUAAAGAGAGCGUAGGUGGUUCCUUAAGUCAGGUGUGAAAUCUUCUGGCUCAACCAGGAGAAGUCAUCUGAUACUGUGGAGCUUGAGGGCAGCAGAAGGAAAUGGAAUUCCCAGUGUAGCGGUGAAAUGCGUUGAUAUUGGGAAGAACACCAGUGGCGAAGGCGAUUUCCUAGGUUGUUCCUGACACUGAGGCUCGAAAGCGUGGGGAGCGAAGCGGAUUAGAUACCCGCAUAGUCCACGCCGUAAACGGUGGACACUAGAUAUGGGAAGUAUCGACCCUUUCCGUGUCGAAGCUAACGCUUUAAGUGUCCCGCCUGGGGAGUACGGCCGCAAGGCUAAAACUCAAAGGAAUUGACGGGGGCCCGCA